UAGGGAAUCUUCCGCAAUGGACGCAAGUCUGACGGAGCAACGCCGCGUGAGUGAAGAAGGAUUUCGGUUCGUAAAACUCUGUUGUUAGAGAAGAACAGCGCAUAGAGUAACUGUUAUGCGUGUGACGGUAUCUAACCAGAAAGCCACGGCUAACUACGUGCCAGCAGCCGCGGUAAUACGUAGGUGGCAAGCGUUGUCCGGAUUUAUUGGGCGUAAAGCGAGCGCAGGCGGUCAAUUAAGUCUGAUGUGAAAGCCCCCGGCUCAACCGGGGAGGGUCAUUGGAAACUGGUUGACUUGAGUGCAGAAGAGGAGAGUGGAAUUCCAUGUGUAGCGGUGAAAUGCGUAGAUAUAUGGAGGAACACCAGUGGCGAAGGCGACUCUCUGGUCUGUAACUGACGCUGAGGCUCGAAAGCGUGGGCAGCAAACAGG
Molecule: ribosomal RNA, 429 nt
Filed under: Bacteroidota bacterium
Lineage: Bacteria; Pseudomonadati; Bacteroidota
Description: Bacteroidetes bacterium partial 16S ribosomal RNA
Rfam family: Bacterial small subunit ribosomal RNA
Source: RNAcentral